GUGACGAGUGGCGGACGGGUGAGUAAUGUCUGGGAAACUGCCUGAUGGAGGGGGAUAACUACUGGAAACGGUAGCUAAUACCGCAUAACGUCGCAAGACCAAAGAGGGGGACCUUCGGGCCUCUUGCCAUCAGAUGUGCCCAGAUGGGAUUAGCUAGUAGGUGGGGUAAUGGCUCACCUAGGCGACGAUCCCUAGCUGGUCUGAGAGGAUGACCAGCCACACUGGAACUGAGACACGGUCCAGACUCCUACGGGAAGCAGCAGUGGGGAAUAUUGCACAAUGGGCGCAAGCCUGAUGCAGCCAUGCCGCGUGUAUGAAGAAGGCCUUCGGGUUGUAAAGUACUUUCAGCGGGGAGGAAGGUGUUGUGGUUAAUAACCGCAGCAAUUGACGUUACCCGCAGAAGAAGCACCGGCUAACUCCGUGCCAGCAGCCGCGGUAAUACGGAGGGUGCAAGCGUUAAUCGGAAUUACUGGGCGUAAAGCGCACGCAGGCGGUCUGUCAAGUCGGAUGUGAAAUCCCCGGGCUCAACCUGGGAACUGCAUUCGAAACUGGCAGGCUAGAGUCUUGUAGAGGGGGGUAGAAUUCCAGGUGUAGCGGUGAAAUGCGUAGAGAUCUGGAGGAAUACC
Molecule: ribosomal RNA, 626 nt
Filed under: uncultured Gammaproteobacteria bacterium
Lineage: Bacteria; Pseudomonadati; Pseudomonadota; Gammaproteobacteria
Description: bacterial SSU rRNA
Rfam family: Bacterial small subunit ribosomal RNA
Source: RNAcentral